Molecule: ribosomal RNA, 1188 nt
Filed under: Bacillus amyloliquefaciens
Lineage: Bacteria; Bacillati; Bacillota; Bacilli; Caryophanales; Bacillaceae
Description: bacterial SSU rRNA
Rfam family: Bacterial small subunit ribosomal RNA
Source: RNAcentral
UAUACAUGCAGUCGAGCGGACAGAUGGGAGCUUGCUCCCUGAUGUUAGCGGCGGACGGGUGAGUAACACGUGGGUAACCUGCCUGUAAGACUGGGAUAACUCCGGGAAACCGGGGCUAAUACCGGAUGCUUGUUUGAACCGCAUGGUUCAAACAUAAAAGGUGGCUUCGGCUACCACUUACAGAUGGACCCGCGGCGCAUUAGCUAGUUGGUGAGGUAAUGGCUCACCAAGGCAACGAUGCGUAGCCGACCUGAGAGGGUGAUCGGCCACACUGGGACUGAGACACGGCCCAGACUCCUACGGGAGGCAGCAGUAGGGAAUCUUCCGCAAUGGACGAAAGUCUGACGGAGCAACGCCGCGUGAGUGAUGAAGGUUUUCGGAUCGUAAAGCUCUGUUGUUAGGGAAGAACAAGUACCGUUCGAAUAGGGCGGUACCUUGACGGUACCUAACCAGAAAGCCACGGCUAACUACGUGCCAGCAGCCGCGGUAAUACGUAGGUGGCAAGCGUUGUCCGGAAUUAUUGGGCGUAAAGGGCUCGCAGGCGGUUUCUUAAGUCUGAUGUGAAAGCCCCCGGCUCAACCGGGGAGGGUCAUUGGAAACUGGGGAACUUGAGUGCAGAAGAGGAGAGUGGAAUUCCACGUGUAGCGGUGAAAUGCGUAGAGAUGUGGAGGAACACCAGUGGCGAAGGCGACUCUCUGGUCUGUAACUGACGCUGAGGAGCGAAAGCGUGGGGAGCGAACAGGAUUAGAUACCCUGGUAGUCCACGCCGUAAACGAUGAGUGCUAAGUGUUUAGGGGGUUUCCGCCCCUUAGUGCUGCAGCUAACGCAUUAAGCACUCCGCCUGGGGGAGUACGGUCGCAAGACUGAAACUCAAAGGAAUUGACGGGGGCCCGCACAAGCGGUGGAGCAUGGUGGUUUAAUUCGAAGCAACGCGAAGAACCUUACCAGGUCUUGACAUCCUCUGACAAUCCUAGAAGAUAGGACGUCCCCUUCGGGGGCAGAGUGACAGGUGGUGCAUGGUUGUCGUCAGCUCGUGUCGUGAGAUGUUGGGUUAAGUCCCGCAACGAGCGCAACCCUUGAUCUUAGUUGCCAGCAUUCAGUUGGGCACUCUAAGGUGACUGCCGGUGACAAACCGGAGGAAAGGUGGGGAUGACGUCAAAUCAUCAUGCCCCUUAUGACCUGGGCUAC